Molecule: ribosomal RNA, 525 nt
Filed under: Microdochium lycopodinum
Lineage: Eukaryota; Fungi; Ascomycota; Sordariomycetes; Xylariales; Microdochiaceae
Description: eukaryotic LSU rRNA
Rfam family: 5.8S ribosomal RNA (bases 174-327)
Source: RNAcentral
GUCUCCGUAGGUGAACCUGCGGAGGGAUCAUUACAGAGUUUUUAACUCCUAAAACCAUGUGAACUUACCACUGUUGCCUCGGUGGAAGGUACCCGAAAGGGUGCUGGAAGCCGGCGGACAUCUAAACUCUUGUUAAUUUUUGUUAUUCUGAAUCAAACUAAGAAAUAAGUUAAAACUUUCAACAACGGAUCUCUUGGUUCUGGCAUCGAUGAAGAACGCAGCGAAAUGCGAUAAGUAAUGUGAAUUGCAGAAUUCAGUGAAUCAUCGAAUCUUUGAACGCACAUUGCGCCCAUUAGUAUUCUAGUGGGCAUGCCUGUUCGAGCGUCAUUUCAACCCUUAAGCCUAGCUUAGUGUUGGGAGACUGCCUAAUACGCAGCUCCUCAAAACCAGUGGCAGAGUUUUUACGUACUCUGAGCGCAGUAAUUCUAUUCUCGCUUUUGAACACGUCUAGACGAUAGCCAAAAACCGCUUGCCUCGGCAGCACUUUUUAAUGGUUGACCUCGGAUCAGGUAGGAAUACCCGCUG